This 497-nucleotide ribosomal RNA is filed under the name uncultured bacterium. Its description in RNAcentral is "partial 16S ribosomal RNA". It matches the Rfam family "Bacterial small subunit ribosomal RNA", at positions 28 to 507 of the family's 1533-position model. The record is from RNAcentral.
GAUGAACGCUGGCGGCGUGCCUAAUACAUGCGAGUCGAGCGAACGGACGAGAAGCUUGCUUCUCUGAUGUUAGCGGCGGACGGGUGAGUAACACGUGGGUAACCUACCUAUAAGACUGGGAUAACUUCGGGAAACCGGAGCUAAUACCGGAUAAUAGUUUGAACCGCAUGGUUCAAAAGUGAAAGGCGUUCUUGCUGUCACUUAUAGAUGGAUCCGCGCUGCAUUAGCUAGUUGGUAGGGUAACGGCUUACCAAGGCAACGAUGCAUAGCCGACCUGAGAGGGUGAUCGGCCACACUGGAACUGAGACACGGUCCAGACUCCUACGGGAGGCAGCAGUAGGGAAUCUUGCGCAAUGGGCGAAAGCCUGACGGAGCAACGCCGCGUGAGUGAUGAAGGUCUUCGGAUCGUAAAACUCUGUUAUUAGGGAAGAACAUAUGUGUAAGUAACUGUGCACAUCUUGACGGUACCUAAUCAGAAAGCCACGGCUAACUACGUG